Molecule: long non-coding RNA, 1095 nt
Filed under: Marmota monax (woodchuck)
Lineage: Eukaryota; Metazoa; Chordata; Mammalia; Rodentia; Sciuridae
Source: RNAcentral
UUAUUAUCGUUUCUGUGCAAUCACAGUAACUCCUGUUUAUUGAAUGGCUACUGUGUACUAGGCUCUGAAAGUACAUAAGCUGAUGUAAUUCUCAUAGCAGCUCUGUGGGAUGUGUAGGGGUUCUCUUGUCCUGAUUUUUAGAGGAGGAAAUAGGAGCUUAGUUGAAGUUCACAGGUAUGAAGCCUGGGCAGUCUCACUCCAAGGCUGAUUGGUUGUUUUGUUUUAUUUUGUUUUUUCCCAGUACUGGAAAGUGAACCCAGGACCUUACACAUGUGGGACAGGUGCUGCAUCACUAAGCUACAUCCUCAGCCCUGCUGAUGUUCUUAAAUCACUAGAUUCUGCUAUUUAGAUGGCCGAAUGGAGGAUCAGUAUGGAGCCAGACGCAGAGAAAUUUAAUACAUUCAGGAUUACUUUAUUAAGUGGCAGGGCCGGAAUUCAAAUAUGUUUGCUAGUUAACUUGUCUGUGUUGGUACCUUGAGAAUAUAGGGGAAAGUUCAGUCUUCUAAGAGGGAGUUAAACCCGGGAAGGUAGCCAGGCAUGGUGGUGCACAGCUGUAAUCGCUACUACUUGGAAUGCUGAGGCAGGAGAAUCACAAGUUCAAGACCAGUAUCAGCAAUUUAAUAAGACCCUGUCUCAAAAUAAAUAAAUAAAUAGAUAGAUAGAAAGGGCUGGGGAUGUAGCUCAGUAGUAAAUCACCCCUGCAUUCUAUCCUCAGUUCAACGGAAACAAAAAAGCAUGGGGAUAUAUUCGUUGCCUCGUAGACAAGGACUGCACCUUUGAUAACUGCGCAAGUGUUAUCUUCCUUGGGCCCGUGGAAGGUUCCAUGAACAGGGGCGUGGAAAUGCAGUCCUCACCCCUCCUUCUGCUCUUCCAGCAAGGUUCCUCUAAGGAGUUCUCUGUCCUUGCUCUUCUGCUGUUCUUUCUACCUUGAACUCUGUAGCUAGAUGUUCGUCCCCACUGUGCCAAUGAACUUACGCCUGUCAGAGUUGCUGUGGUACAUCAUCUUGCAAAGCACACAGUCAGGUCUUCAGUGUUUGUUUGUUCCCAGUGCUGGGAGUCAGACUCAGGGCCUGAGAGUGCUGGGGUGCUCAAUGC